Molecule: ribosomal RNA, 497 nt
Filed under: uncultured bacterium
Lineage: Bacteria
Description: partial 16S ribosomal RNA
Rfam family: Bacterial small subunit ribosomal RNA
Source: RNAcentral
GAUGAACGCUGGCGGCGUGCCUAAUACAUGCCAGUCGAGCGAACAGAUGAGGAGCUUGCUCCUCUGACGUUAGCGGCGGACGGGUGAGUAACACGUGGAUAACCUACCUAUAAGACUGGGAUAACUUCGGGAAACCGGAGCUAAUACCGGAUAAUAUAUUGAACCGCAUGGUUCAAUAGUGAAAGACGGUUUUGCUGUCACUUAUAGAUGGAUCCGCGCCGCAUUAGCUAGUUGGUAAGGUAACGGCUUACCAAGGCGACGAUGCGUAGCCGACCUGAGAGGGUGAUCGGCCACACUGGAACUGAGACACGGUCCAGACUCCUACGGGAGGCAGCAGUAGGGAAUCUUCCGCAAUGGGCGAAAGCCUGACGGAGCAACGCCGCGUGGGUGAUGAAGGUCUUCGGAUCGUAAAACUCUGUUAUUAGGGAAGAACAAAUGUGUAAGUAACUAUGCACGUCUUGACGGUACCUAAUCAGAAAGCCACGGCUAACUACGUG